This is a long non-coding RNA of Myotis brandtii (Brandt's bat), 84 nucleotides long. RefSeq lists it as uncharacterized. The record is from RefSeq and is a predicted model, not a curated record. NCBI's taxonomy places the organism in Eukaryota, Metazoa, Chordata, Mammalia, Chiroptera, Vespertilionidae. The transcript has 3 exons.
AGGAGGGGACAGUCGUGGAGGAGAUAAGGAGAUAAGGCAUUCACAGCGAAGACUGAGGUAGGCGACUACUGAGCAAGGCGGAGA